CCUACGGGAGGCAGCAGUAAGGAAUAUUGGACAAUGGUGGCAACACUGAUCCAGCCAUGCCGCGUGCAGGAUGACGGUUCUAUGAAUUGUAAACUGCUUUUAUACGGGAAAAACCCUCAAGACGUGAUUUUGAGCUGAUUGUACCGUAAGAAUAAGGAUCGGCUAACUUCGUGCCAGCAGCCGCGGUAAGACGAAGGAUCCAAGCGUUAUCCGGAUUUAUUGGGUUUAAAGGGUGCGUAGGCGGACUCAUAAGUCAGUGGUGAAAUCCCAAAGCUUAACUUUGGAACUGCCAUUGAUACUGUAAGUCUUGAGUAUGUUUGAAGUGGGCGGAAUGUAUUGUGUAGCGGUGAAAUGCUUAGAUAUAAUACAGAACACCAAUUGCGAAGGCAGCUCACUAAACCAUAACUGACGCUGAGGCACGAAAGCAUGGGGANCAAACAGGAUUAGAUACCCUGGUAGUCCAUCGACCCUAAACGAUGAAUACUCGAUAUGUGCGAUAUACAGUACGUGUACAAGCGAAAGCAUUAAGUAUUCCGACGUGGGAGUACGCUCGAGAGAGUAGAAACGUAGAAAGGUAGUUACGGACGGACGAGAGACGACGGACCGACGGACGACGACGAGGGAGGAGG
This 629-nucleotide ribosomal RNA is filed under the name uncultured bacterium. RNAcentral's name for it is "bacterial SSU rRNA". It matches the Rfam family "Bacterial small subunit ribosomal RNA", at positions 338 to 1414 of the family's 1533-position model. The record is from RNAcentral.